AUGCCCCCCUUGGUCCACACACUGUGUGGAGGCGGUAGGGGCCGAGGAAUACGGGUUAUUCCUGGACAACGUUUCUCAGCUGUCAGCUCGCCCUCUCUCCGACCGCUAUGCGUGUUGGCUAGAGUGGUGCGUUCUACCAUCGUGGUUGGACAACACGUUGAGAUGGGGUCAUCCCAUACAGUUCAAGCGCCGUCCCCCACCCUUUAUGGGGUUGGUGGAGACCAGGCUACGGGACCCAGCGGCAAGCACGGCUUCGGCAGCAGAGGUGGCCCGUCUCUUGGAGAAGGGAGCCAUCGUUGUCGUUCCCCCCCACGAGUCACAUCGGGGUUUUACUCCCGCUACUUCCUGGUUACCAAGAAGUCAGGUAAGAAGAGAGAUAUUUUGGAUCUUGGCGUGUCCAACAGAAUCGUUGCCGCGAGGAAAUUUAGAAUGCUCACUAUCAGAGCGCUGCUCCGAUGUGUGAGAGAGGGCGACUGGUUCACAUCCCUGGAUCUCAAGGAUGCUUACUUCCACGUCCCUGUUCGGCAGGCGCACAGGAAGUUUCUCCGUUUUGCCUUUAUGGGGGUGGCGUACGAGUACCAGUGCCUGCCAUUCGGCUACUCCCUGGCCCCGUGCACCUUCUCGAAGUGUGUGGAGACAGCGUUGGGACCGCUCAGGCGUCAGGGAAAGAGGGUUCUCUUCUACCUCGACGACCUACUUAUCCUGAGCGACUCAGAGGAAGCUGCGAGAAGGGACACCAUGACGGUGAUAAACCAUCUCUCUUUCCUGGGUUUUGCAAUCAACUGGGAGAAGAGCUUCAAGCUCUCCGGCCGGCAGAUAGUCUACUUGGGGCUUUGCCUAGACUCAGCCGCCAUGACAGCGAUGCUCUCGCCUCCUCGGCGAGACGCCAUCCUGUUGGCACUCUCCCGCUUUCGCGUUCUCAGAAACGUGACCGCGCUGUCCACCAUGCGCCUGUUAGGGCUUAUGGCAGCCUCCCACCCCUUGGUUACCCUGGGUCUGCUCUUUAUGAGCAGACUCCAGCGGUGGUUUGCUCGCCAACGGUUGGACCCCGUGCGACACAAGCUCAGGGUGCUCCUCCUACCCCGUUCGGUGUCACCAGACCUGGAAUAUCGCCCUUCUCAGGGGUGUUCCUCUGGGCAGAGUGACGACCUACGUAGUGGUCUUCACGGACGCCUCAUUGACGGGUUGGGGAGGAACGUGCCUUUCUGA
This 1209-nucleotide long non-coding RNA is filed under the name Gadus morhua (Atlantic cod). Its description in RNAcentral is "lncRNA (ENSGMOG00000034155.1)". The record is from RNAcentral. Lineage: Eukaryota; Metazoa; Chordata; Actinopteri; Gadiformes; Gadidae.